RNAcentral lists this transfer RNA (72 nucleotides) under Alligator mississippiensis (American alligator). It matches the Rfam family "tRNA". From Rfam's summary of the family: Transfer RNA (tRNA) molecules are approximately 80 nucleotides in length. RNAcentral also lists the same sequence under 1 other name. Lineage: Eukaryota; Metazoa; Chordata; Crocodylia; Alligatoridae. The record is from Rfam by way of RNAcentral.
GGUAGAAUGGUUUAGUGGACAAAGCACUAGAGUAGAACUCAGGAAGCCUGGGUUUUCUUCCUGGUUCUGUCA